This 140-nucleotide small nucleolar RNA is filed under the name Echinops telfairi (small Madagascar hedgehog). RNAcentral's name for it is "Small Cajal body specific RNA 11 (ENSETEG00000025810.1)". It matches the Rfam family "Small Cajal body specific RNA 11". Rfam says of the family: scaRNAs are a specific class of small nuclear RNAs which localise to the Cajal bodies and guide the modification of RNA polymerase II transcribed spliceosomal RNAs U1, U2, U4, U5 and U12. ACA57 belongs to the H/ACA box class of guide RNAs as it has the predicted hairpin-hinge-hairpin-tail structure, conserved H/ACA-box motifs and is found associated with GAR1. The record is from RNAcentral. Lineage: Eukaryota; Metazoa; Chordata; Mammalia; Afrosoricida; Tenrecidae.
CCGUCCUGGCCCAUGUGUCCCUGCUCCCCUGUGCUCAGUUGUGGCAGGGGGGCCUGAGGCAGGAUGUACAGUAUCUCCCUCUCAGUUUAGGAGGGCUGUCCUAAGCACAGGGCUGGCUCUUAAAGGCACGCAAGGACAUU